Molecule: small nuclear RNA, 298 nt
Filed under: Saimiri boliviensis boliviensis (Bolivian squirrel monkey)
Lineage: Eukaryota; Metazoa; Chordata; Mammalia; Primates; Cebidae
Description: 7SK RNA (ENSSBOG00000001832.1)
Rfam family: 7SK RNA
About the family: 7SK was discovered as an abundant small nuclear RNA in the mid-70s but a possible function has only recently been suggested. Two independent studies have found that 7SK RNA binds the CDK9/cyclin T complex (known as elongation factor P-TEFb).
Source: RNAcentral
GGAUGUGAGGGCGAUCUGGCUGCGACAUCUGUCACCCCAUUGAUGGCCAGGGUUGAUUCGGCUGAUCUGGCUGGCUAGGCGGGUGUCCCCUUCCUCCCUCACCGCUCCAUGUGCGUCCCUCCCGAAGCUGCGCGCUCGGUCGAAGAGGACGACCAUCCCCGAUAGAGGAGGACCGGUCUUCGGUCAAGGGUAUACGAGUAGCUGCGCUCCCCUGCUAGAACCUCCAAACAGGGUAGGCCCCCACCGAAUAACUUCACUAAAUUAUUGCUAAACAUCAAUACCUACACUGUUUUCCUUA